GAACGCAUAUUGCGCUCUUUGGUAUUCCGAAGAGCAUGCUUGUUUGAGUAUCAGUAAACACCUCAAAGCUUUUGAUUUAUUUUGAAGGCUUUGGACUUGAGCGAUCCCAACACCAAUCUUUUAAGAUCGGCGGCGGGUUGCUUGAAAUGCAGGUGCAGCUGGACAUUCUCCUGAGCUAAAAGCAUAUUUAUUUAGUCCCGUCAAACGGAUUAUUACUUUUGCUGCAGCUAAUAUAAAGGGAGUUUGGCCGUUUUGGCUGACUGAUGCAGGAUUUCACAAGGGUCGGCAACGAUUCUUGUUAAACUCGAUCUCAAAUCAAGUAAGACUACCCGCUGAACUUAAU
This 343-nucleotide unclassified non-coding RNA is filed under the name Linnemannia sclerotiella. Its description in RNAcentral is "sequence contains 5.8S rRNA gene". The stretch from base 1 to 53 matches the Rfam family "5.8S ribosomal RNA", at positions 102 to 154 of the family's 154-position model. The record is from RNAcentral. Lineage: Eukaryota; Fungi; Mortierellomycota; Mortierellomycetes; Mortierellales; Mortierellaceae.